Molecule: unclassified non-coding RNA, 240 nt
Filed under: soil metagenome
Description: partial contains 5.8S ribosomal RNA, internal transcribed spacer 2, and large subunit ribosomal RNA
Source: RNAcentral
AACGGUCUAUACCUGCGGUACCUGCGGAGGGAUCAUUAAUGAUAUGUAUAUUGUGAUGUCUGUGAAGUGGUGGCUGGGUGAGGGGUGAGCGGGGGGGUGGUGGAUGGUGGUGUGCUGUGUGGUGCGCGUGCUGUAUUGUAUUGUAUGGUGCGCGUGCUGCAUGGUGCGCUGUGCUGUUGCCCCUGCUGCUUGCUCCCUUGCAGCCACUGGAUAACCGGUGUUGUGUGACGUGCAUUAUUA